This 69-nucleotide transfer RNA is filed under the name Oreolalax rhodostigmatus (red-spotted toothed toad). RNAcentral's name for it is "tRNA-Trp". It matches the Rfam family "tRNA". From Rfam's summary of the family: Transfer RNA (tRNA) molecules are approximately 80 nucleotides in length. The record is from RNAcentral. Lineage: Eukaryota; Metazoa; Chordata; Amphibia; Anura; Megophryidae.
GGGUACUUAGGUUAAACAAACUAGAAGCCUUCAAAGCUUCAAAUAGGGGCUCAAUCCCCCUAGUCCCCG